CCUUCGAUAGCUCAGUUGGUGAGAGCGGAGGACUGUAGAUCCUUAGGUCGCUGGUUCAAAUCCGGCUCGAAGGA
Molecule: non-coding RNA, 74 nt
Organism: Oncorhynchus masou masou (cherry salmon)
Lineage: Eukaryota; Metazoa; Chordata; Actinopteri; Salmoniformes; Salmonidae
Source: the annotation of a RefSeq genome assembly